GGUGGCGACCGGCGCACGGGUGAGUAACGCGUAUGCAACCUACCUAUCAGAGGGGAAUAACCCGGCGAAAGUCGGACUAAUACCGCAUAAAACAGGGACACCGCAUGGUGAUAUUUGUUAAAGAAAUUCGCUGAUAGAUGGGCAUGCGUUCCAUUAGGUAGUUGGUGAGGUAACGGCUCACCAAGCCGACGAUGGAUAGGGGAACUGAGAGGUUGGUCCCCCACACUGGUACUGAGACACGGACCAGACUCCUACGGGAGGCAGCAGUGAGGAAUAUUGGUCAAUGGGCGAGAGCCUGAACCAGCCAAGUCGCGUGGAAAAGGAAGAAGGAUCUAUGGUUCGUAAACUUCUUUUGCGAGGGGAAUAAAGUGCAGGACGUGUCCUGUUUUGUAUGUACCCUGAGAAUAAGGAUCGGCUAACUCCGUGCCAGCAGCCGC
This 437-nucleotide ribosomal RNA is filed under the name uncultured bacterium. Its description in RNAcentral is "bacterial SSU rRNA". It matches the Rfam family "Bacterial small subunit ribosomal RNA", at positions 87 to 518 of the family's 1533-position model. The record is from RNAcentral.